AGCAUAUCAAUAAGCGGAGGAAAAGAAACUAACAAGGAUUCCCUUAGUAACUGCGAGUGAAGUGGGAAGAGCUCAAAUUUGAAAUCUGGCAGUCUCUGGCUGUCCGAGUUGUAAUCUAGAGAAGUGUUGCCCGCGCUGGACCGUGUACAAGUCUCCUGGGAUGGAGCGUCAUAGAGGGUGAGAAUCCCGUCUCUGACAUGGACUACCAGGGCUUUUGUGGUGCGCUCUCAAAGAGUCGAGUUGUUUGGGAAUGCAGCUCAAAAUGGGUGGUAAAUUCCAUCUAAAGCUAAAUAUUGGCGAGAGACCGAUAGUGAACAAGUACCGUGAGGGAAAGAUGAAAAGAACUUUGGAAAGAGAGUUAAACAGUACGUGAAAUUGCUGAAAGGGAAACGCUUGAAGUCAGUCGCGUUGGCCAGGGAUCAGCCUUGCUUCUUAGUGUGGUGUACUUCCUGGUUGACGGGUCAGCAUCGGUUUCGACUGCUGGAGAAAGGCUUGGGGAAUGUGGCAGCUCUGGCUGUGUUAUAGCCUCCUGUCAGAUACAGUGGUUGGGACUGAGGAACGCAGCAUGCCGCAAGGCCGGGGCUAAUAUCAGCCUACGUUCAUGCUUAGGAUGUUGACAUAAUGGC
Molecule: ribosomal RNA, 626 nt
Filed under: Leucocoprinus sp.
Lineage: Eukaryota; Fungi; Basidiomycota; Agaricomycetes; Agaricales; Agaricaceae
Description: LSU rRNA
Rfam family: Eukaryotic large subunit ribosomal RNA
Source: RNAcentral